AUACUUCCCUGACAGGGGGAGACACCAGAAGGUGGUUUUCCAGAGCGAGGCUCAUCCAUUGCACUGGGGGUGUGCUGACCCCUGCGAUUUCCCCAAAUGCAGGAAACUUGACUGCAUCAUUUGUGGUAGUGGGGGAUCGCAUUCGUGCUUUCCCCUG
Echinops telfairi (small Madagascar hedgehog) is the source of this 157-nucleotide small nuclear RNA. Its record names the gene U1. It matches the Rfam family "U1 spliceosomal RNA". From Rfam's summary of the family: U1 is a small nuclear RNA (snRNA) component of the spliceosome (involved in pre-mRNA splicing). Lineage: Eukaryota; Metazoa; Chordata; Mammalia; Afrosoricida; Tenrecidae. The record is from Ensembl.